Molecule: transfer RNA, 92 nt
Filed under: Candidatus Omnitrophota bacterium
Lineage: Bacteria; Pseudomonadati; Candidatus Omnitrophota
Description: tRNA-Ser
Rfam family: tRNA
About the family: Transfer RNA (tRNA) molecules are approximately 80 nucleotides in length.
Source: RNAcentral
GGAGAGAUGGCAGAGCGGUUGAAUGCGUACGCUUGGAGAGCGUAUGACGGCUGAAAGGCUGUCCUAGGGUUCGAAUCCCUAUCUCUCCGCCA